AUACGGAGGAUCCGAGUGUUAUCCGGAUUUAUUGGGUUUAAAGGGUGCGCAGGCGGAAGAUUAAGUCGGCGGUGAAAUUUUGCAGCUCAACUGUAAAAGUGCCUUCGAAACUGGUUUUCUUGAGUGUAGAUGAAGUAGGCGGAAUUUGUGGUGUAGCGGUGAAAUGCUUAGAUAUCACAAAGAACUCCGAUUGCGCAGGCAGCUUACUAAACUACAACUGACACUGAAGCACGAAAGCGUGGGGAUC
This 247-nucleotide ribosomal RNA is filed under the name uncultured bacterium. Its description in RNAcentral is "partial 16S ribosomal RNA". It matches the Rfam family "Bacterial small subunit ribosomal RNA", at positions 523 to 769 of the family's 1533-position model. The record is from RNAcentral.